RNAcentral lists this ribosomal RNA (468 nucleotides) under Triticum aestivum (bread wheat). RNAcentral's name for it is "partial small subunit ribosomal RNA". The record is from RNAcentral. Lineage: Eukaryota; Viridiplantae; Streptophyta; Magnoliopsida; Poales; Poaceae.
AUGCGCAGGGGUCAUGGCGCGACGGUGGAUGAGGGUGCUCGUGGCCAUGAUUUUUGCUGGAACCGGCUCCGCAGUUGCUGCAACCGGCAAGACGACGUGCACAUUGGAGCUGGAGUUGGAGCGCGCUCACCGGCGAUGUGGUUUUCGCUGGAACCGGCUAGUUACUUUGCUACAAUCAGACUUUGGGGAUUUUUGCUGCUAUGUUUAUUUUUGCUGGAACUAGUGUCAAUUUUUGUUGGAACCGGCUAUUCAUUUGCUACAAGCGGAUUUUCUGAUUUUUUGCUGCUAUGGUUGAUUUGCUGGAACCGGGCAGCGGGGAUGGUGACCAUGCUGGAACCGGGCAACGGGGAUGCUGGAACCAUCGGUAGCUUUUGCUUCUACCAGCAGCAAUUGAAACAGCAAUUGAAUCAUCGCGGGGCAAGCGGCCACGGCGUGCUCCGCCUGCGAGCCGGCGGGCAGCCGCGGUGA